This 62-nucleotide transfer RNA is filed under the name Bordetella hinzii OH87 BAL007II. RNAcentral describes it as "tRNA-Ser". It matches the Rfam family "tRNA", at positions 16 to 71 of the family's 71-position model. Rfam says of the family: Transfer RNA (tRNA) molecules are approximately 80 nucleotides in length. Their secondary structure includes four short double-helical elements and three loops (D, anti-codon, and T loops). The record is from RNAcentral. Lineage: Bacteria; Pseudomonadati; Pseudomonadota; Betaproteobacteria; Burkholderiales; Alcaligenaceae.
UUGGUUAGAAUACCGGCCUGUCACGCCGGGGGUCGCGGGUUCGAGCCCCGUCCGCUCCGCCA